Molecule: transfer RNA, 64 nt
Organism: Cavia porcellus (domestic guinea pig)
Lineage: Eukaryota; Metazoa; Chordata; Mammalia; Rodentia; Caviidae
Rfam family: tRNA
About the family: Transfer RNA (tRNA) molecules are approximately 80 nucleotides in length. Their secondary structure includes four short double-helical elements and three loops (D, anti-codon, and T loops).
Source: Rfam
GGGGAUUUAGCUCAGCGGCAUAAGCGCCUGCCUUGCAAGCAGGCAGUCAUAAGUUUGAUCCCUA